This 475-nucleotide ribosomal RNA is filed under the name uncultured organism. Its description in RNAcentral is "partial 16S ribosomal RNA". It matches the Rfam family "Bacterial small subunit ribosomal RNA", at positions 332 to 798 of the family's 1533-position model. The record is from RNAcentral.
UACACUCCUACGGGAGGCAGCAGUGGGGAAUUUUGGACAAUGGGCGAAAGCCUGAUCCAGCAAUGCCGCGUGAGUGAAGAAGGCCUUCGGGUUGUAAAGCUCUUUUGUCAGGGAAGAAACGGUGAGAGCUAAUAUCUUUUGCUAAUGACGGUACCUGAAGAAUAAGCACCGGCUAACUACGUGCCAGCAGCCGCGGUAAUACGUAGGGUGCAAGCGUUAAUCGGAAUUACUGGGCGUAAAGCGUGCGCAGGCGGUUUUGUAAGUCUGAUGUGAAAGCCCCGGGCUCAACCUGGGAAUUGCAUUGGAGACGGCAAGGCUAGAAUCUGGCAGAGGGGGGUAGAAUUCCACGUGUAGCAGUGAAAUGCGUAGAUAUGUGGAGGAACACCGAUGGCGAAGGCAGCCCCCUGGGUCAAGAUUGACGCUCAUGCACGAAAGCGUGGGGAGCAAACAGGAUUAGAUACCCGUGUAGUCCCAU